CCCUUAGAUGUCCUGGGCCGCACGCGCGUUACACUGGUGCAUUCAACGAGCUUAUAACCUUGGCCGAGAGGCCUGGGCAAUCUUGUUAACGUGCAUCGUGAUAGGGAUAGAUUAUUGAAAUUAUUAAUCUUGAACGAGGAAUUCCUAGUAAACGUAGAUCAUCAAUCUGCAUUGAUUACGUCCCUGCCCUUUGUACACACCGCCCGUCGCACCUACCGAUUGGAUGGUCCGGUGAAGCCUCGGGAUUGUGGUUCUUGCCGCUUUAUUGUGGCGUGACCGCGAGAACUUGUCUAAACCUUAUCAUCUAGAGGAAGGUGAAGUCGUAACA
RNAcentral lists this ribosomal RNA (328 nucleotides) under uncultured eukaryote. Its description in RNAcentral is "partial 18S ribosomal RNA". It matches the Rfam family "Eukaryotic small subunit ribosomal RNA", at positions 1470 to 1796 of the family's 1831-position model. The record is from RNAcentral.